GUUCAGACGAGGGACGGCGGAUACUUAGUUUCUAUGAACCCUUUUGAUACGGUGGUCAUGAGGAAGGACACUCCUAAGCUCGUGAUGCAAAUCUCGAAACAGAUCGUGGUACUACCUGAAGCCGGAUCAGCGACUGGAUUCGAAUUGUUUCAUAGAAUGGCGGGUUCGGGUAAGGAACUUGACUCAAAGAUAUGUUCGCUUAUGGCGAUGGACGAGCUUAUGGGGAAAACAGGGGAACAAGUGGCUUUCGAAGGUAUAGCGUCAGCGAUCAUACAAGGGAGGAACAAAGAGCGAGCGAACACGAGCGCAGCGCGAACUGUUGCUGCUGUUAAAACGAUGGCUAACGCUAUGAACAGCGGAAGAAGAGAUAGGAUAAUGACAGGAAUCUGGAACGUGGAGGAGAAUCCAUUGGCUUCAGCUGAGGAGGUUUUAGCUGUUUCUUUGCAGAAACUUGAAGAGAUGGUGAUCGAAGGACUAAAGAUUCAAGCUGAUAUGGUGGAGGAUGAUGCUCCUUUUGAGGUUUCCGCUGCCAAAGGCCAGCCAAAUCCACUUGAGUCGACCAUCCCGCUCGACGAGUGGCUCAAGGAGAAUCGCAAGCAGAAAACGUUGACCGUUUUUGCGACAGUGCAGCUCCGGGACCCAACAAGGAGAUAUGAGGCAGUGGGAGGGACAGUUGUCGUGGCGGUGCAGGCUGAAGAUCAGGAGGAUGGACUAAAAGUGGGAAGCUUGCACGUUGGGGGAGUGAAGAGCAAUGGGGCGGAGAAGCGAAGGUUGACUGCGGCGCAGUGGCUUGUGGAGUAUGGUAUGGGUAAGAAGGGUAAGAAGAAGAGUAAUGUUAAGAGGAAGGAGAAAGAAGAAGAAGAAGAUGAAGAAUUGUUGUGGAGCUUGUCGUCUAGAGUUAUGGCGGAUAUGUGGCUAAAAUCUAUAAGGAACCCUGAUGUGAAGUUGCACUGUUGAGGUUGAGAAUUUCACAGUACAGAAUAAGAUGCAUAUGUGUAUACAAAAGGUUAUUUUCGCUUUGUUAUUUAUAGCUAUUUGAGCAGAACUUGUCUAGUAUCUAAAUUUGAUCGUUCUUUGUCAACUGGUAAAGAGGUGGGCACUUCGGUUAUUUUCUCGGUUAGGGUUCGGUUCUAGUAUUUUUCCAACUUAAAUAAAUUAUGUUUGGUUUGGUUCGAUUCGGUUUGUGCUCGGUUCGAUUUAUCGAUUUGUAUUCGGGUUCGAUUUGUAUUCGGUUCGGUUGGAUUUAUUUUUUGGAUCAGUUUAUUUAUGUUCUUCUUAGUUAGAGUCUUCUUAGUUUAAUUUUUUUAGAGUAUUUAGGCUCUAUACACACAGAAAUUAUGGAAAUUAGGAGAAUGCCUCCGACACCGUUAAACUUUUUUUAAUACCAAAACACCCCUACACAACUUCAUCACCUAUAUCUUGUACUUUUGAUUUUCUGUCAGAGACUAGAACCUAAGACCUUAUACUACACGCCAUGCACUGGAUUUCACUAUUACUCAUAAAGACGCCAAGGGUACAUAAAUAGGCAACAAUUACAUUUAUUGGUAGUUUACCAAUUGUGUUAAAAGUCACGACCUUUCAUGUUUCUUUCUUCAUAAACUCAACAAUCUCUAUUUUUUUUUUCUCAUUUUUCUCUCUGAUACAGAGAAGCUAGAGAAUCAAAACCUUUCAUGCCUCUUUACCCUGCAUCAUCUAAGAGCAUGUUGAAAUAAUUCGAGAUUUGGAAGAAUUUCUGGCAUGUCCAUGGGGUAGGAUCUCGUUCGAAAUGCUAGUUAUCGGGAUCAAGAAGAAAGACGAGAUUCUACUUUCUCAAACUAGCGUUGCGUUGCCUGGAUUUGUGGAUGCGACUCAGCUUGUGUUUAUGGUGGCAGUUCCUCAGAUUAAAGAGGUUGUUCCACAGGUUGAACCGGUUGUGUUGAUUAAGUCAAGACUCCGAGUCAGAGUCUGAUUGCAACGAUUUUCAAGUUGACGAAGAAGACGAGCCAGAUGUUUCUAAACCAACCCCACCUCUAGCAAUAGUUUGAUAUUGCAUAAACCCAACACACGUUAAAGCCCUGGAUGAAUAAGUUAAGGUUAGUAACUGUAUAAUAACGACUAAUAUUUUUUUGUAAAUGUAAAUAAAGAUCUUACCAGCAUCAAUGUUCAAAAUUGGUUAACUACUUCUGAUGUUGGUCUUUAUGUUAGAUUAGCCGAUACCCUUAGAAUGUCAUAGUUACUAAAUGAUGUAGCGCCUAUCGUAUAUAGUUACCACUAAAUAUUUUGUUAGGUGAAGUAACAGAAAAUAGCUGUAGCAGAGAUACGCUAAUGGAUGAACGUAACAGAAAAUAGCUGUAGCAGAGAUAAUUAACCGUUAUUGUCGCUAGUUAUUUAAUUUGCUCCAUGUUGCGUGUUAAAGGCUAACAAAUGAAAGCUAUUAUGAAUGGUAACUGAUACGAAAAGUAAUUACGGCUAAUAAUUAUCAUGUGUAGUAGUCGACAAAUGUAAUGAAUUCUGCUGCACUAUCCUGCUUGUGGCCACUACUUUAAAAAGUGUAGUUGAUUUGAUUGUUUGUGUCACAUCAAUCCUGACGUUUCAGCAGCUCUCGUCACCAAUCAAGGGAAUUGACAGCCUUAGAGAAAUGGAUGAUCGGAUUGGGUACCAGGUGGGUUCGUUUGCAGAGCGUUAUCUGAGGGAUGAGCUUAACAUAUCAGAGUCAAGGCUCGUCCCGCUUGGUUCACCUGAAGCUUAUGCCAAAGCUUUAAAAGAUGGACCAAGAAAAGGAGGUGUUGCGGCAAUUGUGGACGAGCGUCCUUAUGUUGAACUCUUCCUCUCCAGCAAUUGCGCUUAUAGGAUCGUUGGUCAGGAGUUCACCAAAAGUGGCUGGGGAUUUGUAAGUCCUCCAAAAAACGCAUUUUGGUGUUUGCUGAGUAUUAUUUUUACCAUUCAGUCAAAUUACAAAUGUUUCUUUUACUUAGGCAUUUCCUAGAGACUCUCCUCUAGCAAUAGAUCUGUCAACAGCGAUCUUGGAGUUGGCAGAGAACGGGGAUCUGCAGAGGAUCCAUGAUAAGUGGCUGAUGAAGAACGCAUGCACCCUAGAGAACGCAGAACUUGAAUCAGACAGGCUUCAUCUGAAAAGCUUCUGGGGGCUGUUUCUCAUAUGUGGAGUUGCAUGUGUCCUCUCUCUCUUCCUCUACUUUGUUCAGAUCAUCCGUCAGCUCUACAAUGGAAAGCCAAGCGAGGAAGAAGAAGAUGCCAUUGGGAGAGAGAAUCAUGACUCCUCGUCCUUGCGGUCUACUCGUCUGCAGAGAUUCUUGUCGCUCAUGGAUGAGAAAGAAGACGUGUCCAAGGCGGGAAGCAAGAAGAGAAAGAUCGAUGGAUCAGUGAAUGAUAAUUCAGUAUCGAGACAUUCACGGCGACUUGACAGCUUCAAUUCGGUUAAUCCAUUAGAUUGAAAGUUUAGUUACAGAAGAUUUUUUAAGGCAUCAAAACCGUUUAUAGUGUAUCAAAAGUGUAUCCCAACUUGUGCAUUCCCUGAUUCUGUAAUCUUUUAAUCUUAUUAGGAGUUCUUCAAAACAAGUGCAUUAAAGGCAAUAUUAAAUUUUUGUAGAGUAGCUGUACCAAGUUCAAUACGGUAAAAAUAAAUGAGUAGCUACAUCGUCUGACAAACUCUCAACAACCACACACAAGCUUAUGGCUAACGAUCUGAAACGUACCGUGAAAAUUAAAUGAUGAGGGACCAGUUGUUGUCUCUUUCAGAGAAGGAGAGCUCAGGCACAAGGCCACGACAUUCUCAAACCUCAUCCAAUCCCUUCAGACAAUACCAAUAAUGAAAACCUAUCACUAAUCCACACAAAAAAAAAAAAAAAAAAAAAAAAGAUUAUUGAUUUCAUUUCCCCAAUUAAACCCUCGCCCUGCUGCUUAUCCUUCUUCGUCCAGAGACGGAAAAAAAAAACACAAAUAAAGGUAAUCUUCCUUCUACCUAGCACAACCCUCUGUGUGUGUGUGUGUUUACGGUUUGUUUAUCUCUUUUCUCUUGUUGCUAAACCACACAGAGGCUAGAAGUGGCUGCAUUCUCCGGCCUGCGAGUCAGCAGUAACGGUGGGGAAGCAUCUUUCUUUGAUGCCAUAGCUGCUCAAAUCACCCCCAAGGUGACUGAUUGGUUCAGUAACUUUAUUGUUAUGUAUGUGCAUAUAUAUGAUGAUGAUGAUGAGUUUGUGCAAUAUUAUUAGGCUGUGGGGACAUCCUCUCCUGUUAGAGGAGAGACAGUGGCAAAACUGAAGGUGGCCAUCAAUGGGUUUGGAAGGAUUGGUAGGAACUUCCUCAGGUGUUGGCACGGUCGCAAGGACUCUCCUCUCGAAGUUGUUGUGCUUAAUGACAGUGGUGGUGUCAAGAACGUAAGUUGCUUACAAUAAUUUAGCAUUUUUGAUAAUGCAAAUCUCGAAACAGAUCGUGGUACUACCUGAAGCCGGAUCAGCGACUGGAUUCGAAUUGUUUCAUAGAAUGGCGGGUUCGGGUAAGGAACUUGACUCAAAGAUAUGUUCGCUUAUGGCGAUGGACGAGCUUAUGGGGAAAACAGGGGAACAAGUGGCUUUCGAAGGUAUAGCGUCAGCGAUCAUACAAGGGAGGAACAAAGAGCGAGCGAACACGAGCGCAGCGCGAACUGUUGCUGCUGUUAAAACGAUGGCUAACGCUAUGAACAGCGGAAGAAGAGAGAGGAUAAUGACAGGAAUCUGGAACGUGGAGGAGAAUCCAUUGGCUUCAGCUGAGGAGGUUUUAGCUGUUUCUUUACAGAAACUUGAAGAGAUGGUGAUCGAAGGACUAAA
This 4802-nucleotide long non-coding RNA is filed under the name Brassica napus (rape). RNAcentral describes it as "long non-coding RNA (BNAP_LNC007015)". The record is from RNAcentral. Lineage: Eukaryota; Viridiplantae; Streptophyta; Magnoliopsida; Brassicales; Brassicaceae.